UGAAUUGACGAUAACUACUAGUGGUAUAUGAGUUGUGUCUGAUAAAUACAUGUCUGGAACUCUGAGGUCUAA
RNAcentral lists this small nucleolar RNA (72 nucleotides) under Moschus moschiferus (Siberian musk deer). RNAcentral describes it as "Small nucleolar RNA SNORD113/SNORD114 family (ENSMMSG00000004693.1)". It matches the Rfam family "Small nucleolar RNA SNORD113/SNORD114 family". Rfam says of the family: The imprinted human domain at 14q32 contains two clusters of tandemly repeated small nucleolar RNAs named 14q(I) and 14q(II) snoRNAs. These two clusters are named SNORD113 and SNORD114 respectively in the HGNC approved gene symbol nomenclature. The record is from Rfam by way of RNAcentral. Lineage: Eukaryota; Metazoa; Chordata; Mammalia; Artiodactyla; Moschidae.